GGCUUCGUAGCUCAGAUGGUAGAGCGCUUGCCGCGUAGAGGCAUGGUGUUUCUGUCGCUGGUUCGAAUCCAGCCGAAACCC
RNAcentral lists this transfer RNA (81 nucleotides) under Paragonimus heterotremus. It matches the Rfam family "tRNA". Rfam says of the family: Transfer RNA (tRNA) molecules are approximately 80 nucleotides in length. Their secondary structure includes four short double-helical elements and three loops (D, anti-codon, and T loops). The record is from Rfam by way of RNAcentral. Lineage: Eukaryota; Metazoa; Platyhelminthes; Trematoda; Plagiorchiida; Troglotrematidae.